AGUUUGAUCCUGGCUCAGGAUGAACGCUGGCGGCGUGCUUAACACAUGCAAGUCGAACGGUGAACACGGAGCUUGCUCUGUGGGAUCAGUGGCGAACGGGUGAGUAACACGUGAGCAACCUGCCCCUGACUCUGGGAUAAGCGCUGGAAACGGCGUCUAAUACUGGAUAUGUGACGUGACCGCAUGGUCUGCGUCUGGAAAGAAUUUCGGUUGGGGAUGGGCUCGCGGCCUAUCAGCUUGUUGGUGAGGUAAUGGCUCACCAAGGCGUCGACGGGUAGCCGGCCUGAGAGGGUGACCGGCCACACUGGGACUGAGACACGGCCCAGACUCCUACGGGAGGCAGCAGUGGGGAAUAUUGCACAAUGGGCGCAAGCCUGAUGCAGCAACGCCGCGUGAGGGACGACGGCCUUCGGGUUGUAAACCUCUUUUAGCAGGGAAGAAGCGAAAGUGACGGUACCUGCAGAAAAAGCGCCGGCUAACUACGUGCCAGCAGCCGCGGUAAUACGUAGGGCGCAAGCGUUAUCCGGAAUUAUUGGGCGUAAAGAGCUCGUAGGCGGUUUGUCGCGUCUGCUGUGAAAUCCGGAGGCUCAACCUCCGGCCUGCAGUGGGUACGGGCAGACUAGAGUGCGGUAGGGGAGAUUGGAAUUCCUGGUGUAGCGGUGGAAUGCGCAGAUAUCAGGAGGAACACCGAUGGCGAAGGCAGAUCUCUGGGGCCGUAACUGACGCUGAGGAGCGAAAGGGUGGGGAGCAAACAGGCUUAGAUACCCUGGUAGUCCACCCCGUAAACGUUGGGAACUAGUUGUGGGGUCCAUUCCACGGAUUCCGUGACGCAGCUAACGCAUUAAGUUCCCCGCCUGGGGAGUACGGCCGCAAGGCUAAAACUCAAAGGAAUUGACGGGGACCCGCACAAGCGGCGGAGCAUGCGGAUUAAUUCGAUGCAACGCGAAGAACCUUACCAAGGCUUGACAUAUACGAGAACGGGCCAGAAAUGGUCAACUCUUUGGACACUCGUAAACAGGUGGUGCAUGGCUGUCGUCAGCUCGUG
Molecule: ribosomal RNA, 1045 nt
Filed under: uncultured Microbacterium sp.
Lineage: Bacteria; Bacillati; Actinomycetota; Actinomycetes; Micrococcales; Microbacteriaceae
Description: bacterial SSU rRNA
Rfam family: Bacterial small subunit ribosomal RNA
Source: RNAcentral